RNAcentral lists this unclassified non-coding RNA (329 nucleotides) under soil metagenome. RNAcentral's name for it is "partial contains 5.8S ribosomal RNA, internal transcribed spacer 2, and large subunit ribosomal RNA". The stretch from base 1 to 120 matches the Rfam family "5.8S ribosomal RNA", at positions 35 to 154 of the family's 154-position model. The record is from RNAcentral.
GAUGAAGAACGCAGCGAAAUGCGAUAAGUAAUGUGAAUUGCAGAAUUCAGUGAAUCAUCGAAUCUUUGAACGCACAUUGCGCCCUCUGGUAUUCCGGGGGGCAUGCCUGUUCGAGCGUCAUUAUAACCACUCAAGCUCUCGCUUGGUAUUGGGGUUCGCGGUUUCGCGGCCCCUAAAAUCAGUGGCGGUGCCUGUCGGCUCUACGCGUAGUAAUACUUCUCGCGAUUGAGUUCGAUAGGUCUACUUGCCAGUAACCCCCAAUUUUUACAGGUUGACCUCGGAUCAGGUAGGGAUACCCGCUGAACUUAAGCAUAUCAAUAAGCAGAGGA